CNGGNANUGNCGGCAGCCUACACAUGCAAGUCGAGCGGAUGAAAGGAGCUUGCUCCCUGAUUUAGCGGCGGACGGGUGAGUAAUGCCUAGGAAUCUGCCUGGUAGUGGGGGAUAACGUUCCGAAAGGAACGCUAAUACCGCAUACGUCCUACGGGAGAAAGCAGGGGACCUUCGGGCCUUGCGCUAUCAGAUGAGCCUAGGUCGGAUUAGCUAGUUGGUGAGGUAAUGGCUCACCAAGGCGACGAUCCGUAACUGGUCUGAGAGGAUGAUCAGUCACACUGGAACUGAGACACGGUCCAGACUCCUACGGGAGGCAGCAGUGGGGAAUAUUGGACAAUGGGCGAAAGCCUGAUCCAGCCAUGCCGCGUGUGUGAAGAAGGUCUUCGGAUUGUAAAGCACUUUAAGUUGGGAGGAAGGGCAUUAACCUAAUACGUUAGUGUUUUGACGUUACCAACAGAAUAAGCNCCGGCUAACUUCGUG
RNAcentral lists this ribosomal RNA (480 nucleotides) under Pseudomonas sp. HPCPS14. Its description in RNAcentral is "bacterial SSU rRNA". It matches the Rfam family "Bacterial small subunit ribosomal RNA", at positions 37 to 507 of the family's 1533-position model. The record is from RNAcentral. Lineage: Bacteria; Pseudomonadati; Pseudomonadota; Gammaproteobacteria; Pseudomonadales; Pseudomonadaceae.